This 478-nucleotide ribosomal RNA is filed under the name uncultured bacterium. RNAcentral describes it as "bacterial SSU rRNA". It matches the Rfam family "Bacterial small subunit ribosomal RNA", at positions 28 to 507 of the family's 1533-position model. The record is from RNAcentral.
GAUGAACGCUGGCGGCGUGCUUAACACAUGCAAGUCGAACGAAGCAAUGAAGCAGAAGUUUCGGAUGGAAGCUUGAUUGACUUAGUGGCGGACGGGUGAGUAACGCGUGGGUAACCUGCCUUAUACAGGGGGAUAACAGUUGGAAACGGCUGCUAACACCGCAUAAGCGCACAGUAUCGCAUGAUACGGUGUGAAAAAAUUCAUUGGUAUAAGAUGGACCCGCGUCUGAUUAGCUUGUUGGUGAGGUAAAGGCCCACCAAGGCGACGAUCAGUAGCCGGCUUGAGAGAGUGACCGGCCACAUUGGGACUGAGACACGGCCCAAACUCCUACGGGAGGCAGCAGUGGGGAAUAUUGCACAAUGGGGGAAACCCUGAUGCAGCGACGCCGCGUGAGUGAAGAAGUAUUUCGGUAUGUAAAGCUCUAUCAGCAGGGACGAUAAUGACGGUACCUGACUAAGAAGCCCCGGCUAACUACGUG